This 253-nucleotide ribosomal RNA is filed under the name uncultured bacterium. RNAcentral's name for it is "partial 16S ribosomal RNA". It matches the Rfam family "Bacterial small subunit ribosomal RNA", at positions 524 to 776 of the family's 1533-position model. The record is from RNAcentral.
UACAGAGGGGGCAAGCGUUGUUCGGAAUUACUGGGCGUAAAGGGCGCGUAGGCGGCCUCUUAAGUCGAACGUGAAAUCCCCGGGCUCAACCCGGGAACUGCGUCCGAUACUGGGAGGCUUGAAUCCGGGAGAGGGAUGUGGAAUUCCAGGUGUAGCGUUGAAAUGCGUAGAUAUCUGGAGGAACACCGGUGGCGAAGGCGACAUCCUGGACCGGUAUGGACGCUGAGGCGCGAAAGCCAGGGGAGCAAACGGG